AGCGAACGUUUGCGGCGGGCCUAACACAUGCAAGUCGAACGCACUAGCAAUAGUGAGUGGCGCACGGGUGCGUAACACGUGGGUAAUCAACCCUUCAGCCUGGGAUAACGACUCGAAAGGGUCGCUAAUACCGGAUACGGCGCGAGAGGCUUCGGCUUCUCACGAGAAAGCCACGCAAGGGGCACUGAAGGACGAGCCUGCGGCCCAUCAGCUAGUUGGUGAGGUAAGAGCUCACCAAGGCUAAGACGGGUAGCUGGUCUGAGAGGAUGAUCAGCCACACUGGAACUGAGACACGGUCCAGACUCCUACGGGAGGCAGCAGUGGGGAAUAUUGCGCAAUGGGCGAAAGCCUGACGCAGCCACGCCGCGUGAGCGAUGAAGGCCUCGGUCGUAAGACUCUGUGGGAGGAGACGAAGAAAGACCUGUGAGAGCAGGCCUUGACGGUAGUCUCCUUAGUC
This 457-nucleotide ribosomal RNA is filed under the name uncultured bacterium. RNAcentral's name for it is "bacterial SSU rRNA". It matches the Rfam family "Bacterial small subunit ribosomal RNA", at positions 29 to 492 of the family's 1533-position model. The record is from RNAcentral.